RNAcentral lists this ribosomal RNA (492 nucleotides) under uncultured bacterium. RNAcentral describes it as "partial 16S ribosomal RNA". It matches the Rfam family "Bacterial small subunit ribosomal RNA", at positions 29 to 507 of the family's 1533-position model. The record is from RNAcentral.
AGUGAACGCUGGCGGUAGGCCUAACGCAUGCAAGUCGAACGGCAGCACAGUAAGAGCUUGCUCUUACGGGUGGCGAGUGGCGGACGGGUGAGGAAUACAUCGGAAUCUACUUUUUCGUGGGGGAUAGCGUAGGGAAACUUACGCUAAUACCGCAUACGACCUACGGGUGAAAGCAGGGGAUCUUCGGACCUUGCGCGAUUGAAUGAGCCGAUGUCGGAUUAGCUAGUUGGCGGGGUAAAGGCCCACCAAGGCGACGAUCCGUAGCUGGUCUGAGAGGAUGAUCAGCCACACUGGAACUGAGACACGGUCCAGACUCCUACGGGAGGCAGCAGUGGGGAAUAUUGGACAAUGGGCGCAAGCCUGAUCCAGCCAUACCGCGUGGGUGAAGAAGGCCUUCGGGUUGUAAAGCCCUUUUGUUGGGAAAGAAAAGCAGCAGGUUAAUACCCCGCUGUUCUGACGGUACCCAAAGAAUAAGCACCGGCUAACUUCGUG